RNAcentral lists this unclassified non-coding RNA (330 nucleotides) under uncultured fungus. RNAcentral describes it as "sequence contains ITS2". The stretch from base 1 to 52 matches the Rfam family "5.8S ribosomal RNA", at positions 103 to 154 of the family's 154-position model. Lineage: Eukaryota; Fungi. The record is from RNAcentral.
AACGCAUCUUGCGCUCUUUGGUAUUCCGAGGAGCAUGCCUGUUUGAGUGUCAUUGAAAACUCUCAAGAACCUCUUUGUUACAAGGAGGAGCUUGGAUUGCUGGAGCAUUGCAGGUCCUCGUGACUUCUGCUGCUCUCAAAUGUAUUAGUGGAAGGACUUCCUUUGGACUUGUCUUCACUGGCAUUGAUAGUUGAUAUUUUCUAUGCCGUUUGGGUGCAAGCAAGAGUAAAGGAAUGUUUGAGCUUCUGCUCUCCAACUGUGCUCUUCAAUUUUUGAAGACCUUUUGAUCCAUUUGACCUCAAAUCAGGUAGGACUACCCGCUGAACUUAA